This 440-nucleotide ribosomal RNA is filed under the name uncultured bacterium. Its description in RNAcentral is "partial 16S ribosomal RNA". It matches the Rfam family "Bacterial small subunit ribosomal RNA", at positions 338 to 795 of the family's 1533-position model. The record is from RNAcentral.
CCUACGGGUGGCAGCAGUGGGGAAUAUUGCACAAUGGGGGCAACCCUGAUGCAGCUACGCCGCGUGUGUGAAGAAUUAUUUCGGUAUGUAAAGCUCUGUCAGCAGGGAAGAAAAUGACGUUACCUGACCAAAAAGCCCCGGCGAACUACGUGCCAGCAGCCGCGGUAAUACGUAGGGGGCAAGCGUUAUCCGGAUUUACUGGGUGUAACGGGAGCGUAGACGGCAGGUCAAGUCUGGAGUGAAAGGCGGGGGCUGAACCCCCGAACUGCUCUGGAAACUGCCAGGCUGGAGUGCAGGAGAGGUAAGUGGAAUUCCUAGUGUAGCAGUGAAAUGCGUAGAUAUUAGGAGGAACACCAGUGGCGAAGGCGGCUUACUGGAAUGUAACUGACGUUGAGGCUCGAAAGCGUGGGGAGCAAACAGGAUUAGAUACCCGAGUAGUC